Molecule: unclassified non-coding RNA, 189 nt
Filed under: uncultured Scolecobasidium
Lineage: Eukaryota; Fungi; Ascomycota
Description: sequence contains ITS1
Source: RNAcentral
CCGAGUUAGGGUCUUCUCAGGCCCGAUCUCCCAACCCUUUGUCGAACUUACCACUUGUUGCUUCGGCGGGCCCGUCCCCUCUCGGGGGGGCCGCCGGAGGGCCGUCAAACGCCCGCGCCCGUCGACAGCCCAACAUUAAACUCUGAACAAAACGUGUCACGAUCUGAGUAUCUAUAAAAAUAAAGCAAA